This is a long non-coding RNA of Oenanthe melanoleuca, 4217 nucleotides long. RefSeq lists it as uncharacterized. The transcript has 2 exons. Lineage: Eukaryota; Metazoa; Chordata; Aves; Passeriformes; Muscicapidae. The record is from RefSeq and is a predicted model, not a curated record.
UGGGAGGGCAUGGACACAGAUUGCGGAGAAAAGAGACAGCUUUCCCAAAGACAGCCCUGCAGCUGGGCCAGCUGAGGAUCUCCUCUGGGACAUGGAGCCACAGAGCAAAGCAGAGGCCAGGCACACAGCCACACACAAGGCACUGCCAGCUCUGCUCACCAGAAGAAUGGUAUUGGGCAUUAGAAGAACCAACUGACACCACUGGGAGGUCCAAUUGCUCAGGUCAUGGUGGAUCAAGGCCAAACCUGCUGCAGGAGACAUGUUUAGCUGAGAUAUCUGCUGAAAACAAAUGGUGGACCUUGUGAUCCAGAUGUGCCAGCUGAGGCUCUAAGUGCAGCUGGUAACAACUGCCCCGGUGUCAUUUCAUUGGUGAUACAAUGAUGGGAAAUUGCCAAAGAAAAAACCAGAUCAUGUGGAAUACUCUUUGUAAACAGAAGGAUGAAGGCAAAAGGGAAAAACUCACCAAUCCUAUGGCUUAUUUUGAUCAUUCUCUGCUCAACAUGCUCCCUCUCCAUCCCCUGUGGUUCUACUUUUCUGCUUAUUGCAGAUGAAAGGUUUUUGCAGAGCAUGGGAGCUCCAGGAGAUGAACAAAUCCCAGUCCUUACUUGAGAGAUCUGUGUGCCUGACUCCCUGCACUAUGUGCAGUUUAUUUUAGUAGACAUGAACAUGAUGCCAGGGGUGUAUUUAUGAGCAUGCAACAGAGGCAUUUCAGAGGAGUGGCUCAUGAUGGGAGCCAUCACUUCAGGGUAUGUGUGCAGCAGCUGACAGCAGGCAGAGUGACAGAGCAGAGCCAAGAAUGGGCUGGAGUUACAAGUGCAAAUAAAUCCCUUUUCCAUGCUGCAGUACUGUGUAUGUUUGGUUUACACUCUGGUGAACUUCCGAAAGGGAUUUAUGGACGGACAAGGCUGUGGCACAGGCCACGACUCCACAACUGGCACAGCACAAAAAGGCCACAAUUCUGCACUAAACUCUGAACCAGUGGUGUUUCAGCCCCAGAUGGGAGACCAACCUUUGUGAGAAGGUAUAAAAAAUUACAUGCAUAUAGAGAAGUCAUCUUCUGCCUCUGCAUCCCAACUAAGUGUAUGUACUAAAGCCAGUGUCUAGCCAGGGAGAACAGAAUCAUCAAGCUUUUAACAGUGGGCUUUAAAAUACUCUUUACACUUCAGAAGGUACAGAAAAUAAAGAAAACUCUGUAAAGAAAUGUAUUUUCUCUGUUGCCUGCACCCAUAUUAGUAAAAGGCACAUUACAUCAGCUUCUUAUGUUAUUUAAUGCACUUUAUUUUUUGCCAACAGACUGGAUCUAGGUAUUUGGUAUUUUUGUACUGCUGCACAUUGGAAUAUAUCUGCAGCCAGAGAAUAGUGAAUAGUUUACGAAUUAUAAGAAAAAUAAAAUUCCUGAAACUACCAGUGUUACUUUUAAAUUAAUAAAAAGAAAAACUGUCCAGUAGAAAAUGAGGAUGUUCUUUAGAAAUGAAUAUUUGAGACUCAACUGAGACAAUUACUCAACCAAGAGCAGACUGCAGUAGCAUGAGCUACGGCAUGCACAGUUACACUGAGACUAACAAACUGUUAAAAAAAAAAAAAAAAAAGAAAAAAAGAAUUUAUUAGGCUGUCUCAAAGCUGUCACUGACAACCAACAUGUUAGGGGGAAACAAUCUCAAGCACAGCAUCGAUUUAAACAUUCAGAGGUGCAUCACACCAAUCUCCUGUCACAUAAGUCUUUGCUCACUUCACUCACAAACAAGUGGCAAUCAAAGUGACAUCAGGAGCCUCAGAACCUCUUUUGGAGACAGACUGAGCAGAUGUUUUUGUAUCUAGAUUAAGUCACGAGACCCAGGCAAGAACAGAGCUCACUUUCCUUCCAGGCUUGUGCCAGACAGUGCCAGCUGCAGACAUUAGCAGCAUCCCAUUGAGGGCUGCUCCAGCAGCACGGAGCCAGCCUGUGCUGAGACAGGGAGAAGCUUGGCAGGCUGGACACACACCAAGGGCUGACAGGUUGCUGUCACUGGGAACAAGCUGCCAGGCCUUAUCUCAACAGGAAAAGCCACAAAUGCAUGUUUCCCAGUGGUGGUACAAGUUAAAGCACUGACAGAUAGCAGGCAGAGGACCAAGAGAAAUGGCUCCUGUCUUAUCUUGGCCACUGUGAGUUCCUGAAUUAGAAACAGAAUAAACACAGCACUGUUAAAGAAAGGGAAGGAAAGAAAAACAGGCAAUCCUCUAAAGGAUUCAGGUGGCUUUCUGGAGCAGAGGACCAGCUACCAUGUAGAGGGGGCCAAUUUCUACACACCUGUCUGGACCUCACAAGCCUGAUGUUCUUCUUUGGACUAUUUUGUACCAUUGCACUCAGCUGCACUGUUCCUACAGCUGGGGUUCAGACAUGCCAGUUAUUUGUAUGCAUUCAGGGUAGCCUGAAAGAUGCCAGCAAGUGCUCAGCUUCCUGCAGCUCUUCAGCUUCUGCUGACUAUAAACCUGCUGGUCCCUGGGUCCCUGCUCAGCCCUCACACAAGCUUUUGUGUUUUGCCUUCAAUCAAUACUCAAAUACAGGUACCUAUAGGGAGCAGCAGUGAGGAUGGAUCCUCUUGUUUCAACCUGCACAGGGAGAUUUAGAAAAGCACAGAAUAAGGCAAGGCUGCUUCUAAUACAGCAGCUGCCACUGAUACUGUGAAAGCCCAGGAGGAACUGCAUGGGAAUACUGUCACUUCAGCCAUGAUGAUAGAAGUGUUGAAAUAGUUUCUUUCCCUGAGGAACCUCAAAGAGCCAGCAAGGCCAGCCCCUCCAGGAGACGUGGUUGAAGUUCUACUGAUGACUUAGUGGAAUAGCUUAUGUUCUUUAACAUUCUGCCUCUGGUUUGCUUGGCUUGUGAAAAGUAAGUUUCCUUUUACACACAGUCUCACACACCUUACUCCUCCCUCUUCCCUCCCUUCUCUCUCCAGCACCAUCCCUCUGGUCUUCUCCAGUCAGGAAAGUGAUAGAGUUUUAUUGCAGCUCACAGCAGUGCAGAGCUCUGGUAUGGGUUUAUUCACCUAAACUGUCACAGUGAAUUUUGGACUGCAGGGCAGACUUGUUGGCAGUCUCACUCCAGUCUCCUACUGGAGUUUGCAACUCAAAUCCAGUCAGGAUCUGGGAAAUACAGCCCUCUUCUCUCCACCACAUCCUGCAGCCUGCCCCAGAGAGAGGUCACAGUGGGCCUUUACAAGCACUGCAACAGCUGUAGGAGUGCAUAAAGCCAUGAAGAGGAAGAAAUGUCUGAGGAACAGCUGAAUUAGGACAUUUUAGUCAGGUUCAAGGCCUUCCAUUUGAUUAGAUUAGCCACACCUUUGCAGGAAAAUCAGCUGUUAAUUAUUUACUGCAGCCCAAAGAGGCAACUUCCAGGCUACUUCUACAAUUCUCCAGGUACAGCAAGGGGUCCCUCACCAUAGGCCAAGAUCUCUUGGAGGGGUGAAGAGGAGGCAACAGAGGAAACACCUACUACAAACCACAACAGCUUCAGCAGGGUGGAAGCCAGCAUGUCCCUAGAGCAAGAGGCAUCCUCAGUUCCAGAAGACCUGAAGACACUGAUUGCAACAAGUGACUGGGCUCUUGGAGGGCUGGUGGUGAUUGCCAUCUUCUGUUUUGUUUUUCUUGUUCUCAUUUUAUUUGCUGUUCUCUUUGGGUGCUGCACAUCUCCAAGGCACAAACGGGGUAACUUGUAGACAGCAAAGUGAGGACACAGAACUUGGUACAGCUGAGCAAGAACCAGCCUGGGUACAAUCUGAUUGUGUUGUUCACAGAAAACUCUCAUCUCACUCCCCACGUGGUUAUUUCUCUCAAUGCAACUUCCCUGCAUCAAGAGCCAUGUCCCAAUGCCAGCAACUUGUUCUGGCACAGAACUGUUGGCUGUCCACAGCAAACUCAAUAGAUGAGACUGUCUGGAUUCAGGAACUGCAACAUUUGCUAAAUACCAAAGUAAACUCAUCUCUGAUUUUCAUCUUUCAAGCAAAACCACCAACUAGAGGUGGCAAAUGGUCAGCCACCACCUAAAGAAGACAAAGAUGUGUUCUGCUGCUGCUGCAGCUAUGUGGGUUGGGUUUUUUUUUUCACCUUACAGAAGAGCAAUAGGAAACUCUGGCCACUGAAAGCUUUGUCUGAACCCACUCUCUAAAAGCAGUUUAGACCAUUGCUCUCCUGUCAUACUCAGGCCUAAAUACACUAUGCAAAAACUUGUUUGCCAGCACACA